Molecule: ribosomal RNA, 291 nt
Filed under: uncultured bacterium
Lineage: Bacteria
Description: partial 16S ribosomal RNA
Rfam family: Bacterial small subunit ribosomal RNA
Source: RNAcentral
GAUGAACGCUAGCGGCAGGCUUAAUACAUGCAAGUCGAGGGGCAGCAGUCCCGCAGCAAUGCGGGAGCUGGCGACCGGCAAACGGGUGCGGAACACGUACAGAACCUUCCUUCGAGCGGGGAAUAGCCCAGAGAAAUUUGGAUUAAUACCCCAUAGCAUUACGAAGUGGCAUCACUUUGUAAUUAAAGAUUUAUCACUCGAAGAUGGCUGUGCGGCUGANAGGGUAGUUGGCGGAGUAACGGCCCCACCAAGCCUUCGAUCAGUAACUGGUGUGAGAGCACGACCAGUCAC